This is a long non-coding RNA of Lathyrus oleraceus (garden pea), 706 nucleotides long. RefSeq lists it as uncharacterized. The transcript is spliced from 2 exons. The record is from RefSeq and is a predicted model, not a curated record. NCBI's taxonomy places the organism in Eukaryota, Viridiplantae, Streptophyta, Magnoliopsida, Fabales, Fabaceae.
GUCAUCAAACAUAAUCCAUGUGCCAAAAGUAAAAAACAUGUUUAUCACGUGUUAAGACUUAUUUCAAACAAACCCGAGGUCUCUCUUUUCUCUCCAUCAGAAUUCGUUUCUCCUCCGCCGCGACAGAGGUCGCCUCCGGCGGAGGCGGAGUCCUAAUGUCCAAGCCAAUCAGAUAAAUGCCUUCGUCUUUCUCUCAUGAUUCCAAAAAUCACCAUGAAACAACCUGAUUCUUCAUAAGUUGUCUGAAUCGAAGCGGUUCCUCAAAGAAACCUAAACCUUAGAUAUAAAAUUAAAUUCUAAUCCCUCGGAAUCAAAGCCAUAGAUGUUAGGCCUUUGAUUACCCUAAACCUCUUCUACACUCUAGUAACAUGCAUGAAGUGAAAAGAUGAAAAAGAUCAGAAGCAACUCACUGGAGCAAAACCAGAGUUCAUGAUGUGCAAAAGGGGAAUAAUGGAAUCAAAGGCAUGACUUGUUCUUGAAGAAGUGGUGAGGAUUUGGAUCAUGGCAAGACAAAGUGGAAUAUUCAAGUGAAAAAUGGACUUUAUGGUUUAGGAUGGUCAAAGUAUGAUUAGUUGGCUUUGGUCAACUGGUUUACCAAAAGUCAACUUAUGCAAAAAGUUGUAAUUUAUUUGUAACUUCGUAUGAUCAUGUAUGGACAAUGUAAAUAUGAUCUGUAUGAAUGAAAUGAAUUAUUUUUAGUGAAAAA